This 403-nucleotide ribosomal RNA is filed under the name bacterium. RNAcentral describes it as "partial 16S ribosomal RNA". It matches the Rfam family "Bacterial small subunit ribosomal RNA", at positions 355 to 776 of the family's 1533-position model. The record is from RNAcentral.
UGGGGAAUAUUGCACAAUGGGGGAAACCCUGAUGCAGCGACGCCGCGUGAACGAAGAAGGUAUUCGUAUCGUAAAGUUCUGUCCUAUGGGAAGAUAAGGACAGUACCAUAGAAGAAAGCUCCGGCUAAAUACGUGCCAGCAGCCGCGGUAAUACGUAUGGAGCGAGCGGUGUCCGGAAUUAUUGGGCGUAAAGGGUACGCAGGCGGUUUAAUAAGUCGAAUGUGAAAGAUCGGGGCUCAACCCCGCAAAGCAUUGGAAACUGAUAAACUUGAGUAGUGAAGAGGAAAGUGGAAUUCCUAGUGUAGUGGUGAAAUACGUAGAUAUUAGGAGGAAUACCAGUAGCGAAGGCGACUUUCUGGACACAAACUGACGCUGAGGUACGAAAGCGUGGGGAGCAAACAGG